Non-coding RNA from Stegodyphus mimosarum, 73 nucleotides. NCBI's taxonomy places the organism in Eukaryota, Metazoa, Arthropoda, Arachnida, Araneae, Eresidae. The record is from Rfam.
GACUUCGUGGCGCAGUGGUCAGCCCACUCGACACGUAACCGAGAGGUCCGUGGUUCGAUUCCCGGUGAAGGCG